CGGACGGGUGAGUAACACGUGGGUAACCUACCUAUAAGACUGGGACAACUUCGGGAAACCGGAGCUAAUACCGGAUAAGAUAUCGAACCGCAUGGUUCGAUAGUGGAAGAUGGUUUUGCUAUCACUUAUAGAUGGACCCGCGCCGUAUUAGCUAGUUGGUGAGGUAACGGCUCACCAAGGCAACGAUACGUAGCCGACCUGAGAGGGUGAUCGGCCACACUGGAACUGAGACACAGUCCAG
Molecule: ribosomal RNA, 241 nt
Filed under: uncultured Staphylococcus sp.
Lineage: Bacteria; Bacillati; Bacillota; Bacilli; Caryophanales; Staphylococcaceae
Description: partial 16S ribosomal RNA
Rfam family: Bacterial small subunit ribosomal RNA
Source: RNAcentral